GACGAACGCUGGCGGCGUGCUUAACACAUGCAAGUCGAACGGAAAGGCCCUGCUUUUGUGGGGUGCUCGAGUGGCGAACGGGUGAGUAACACGUGUGUAACCUGCCCUUGACUUUGGGAUAACUCCAGGAAACUGGGGCUAAUACCGGAUAGGAGCUCCUGCAGCAUGGUGGGGGUUGGAAAGUUUCGGCGGUUGGGGAUGGACUCGCGGCUUAUCAGCUUGUUGGUGGGGUAGUGGCUUACCAAGGCUUUGACGGGUAGCCGGCCUGAGAGGGUGACCGGCCACAUUGGGACUGAGAUACGGCCCAGACGCCUACGGGAGGCAGCAGUGGGGAAUAUUGCACAAUGGGCGGAAGCCUGAUGCAGCAACGCCGCGUGCGGGAUGACGGCCUUCGGGUUGUAAACCGCUUUCGCCUGUGACGAAGCGUGAGUGACGGUAAUGGGUAAAGAAGCAACGGCUAACUACGUG
RNAcentral lists this ribosomal RNA (468 nucleotides) under uncultured bacterium. RNAcentral's name for it is "partial 16S ribosomal RNA". It matches the Rfam family "Bacterial small subunit ribosomal RNA", at positions 28 to 507 of the family's 1533-position model. The record is from RNAcentral.